GAUGAACGCUAGCGAUAGGCCUAACACAUGCAAGUCGAGGGGCAUCACAUGAAGUAGCAAUACGGAUGGUGGCGACCGGCGCACGGGUGAGUAACACGUAUGCAACCUGCCUUCAACAAGGGGAUAACCCGUUGAAAGACGGACUAAUACCCUAUAACACAGGGGUCCCGCAUGGGGAAUAUUUGUUAAAGGACAACCGGUUGAAGAUGGGCAUGCGUUCCAUUAGCUAGUUGGCGGGGUAACGGCCCACCAAGGCAACGAUGGAUAGGGGAACUGAGAGGUUUAUCCCCCACACUGGUACUGAGACACGGACCAGACUCCUACGGGAGGCAGCAGUGAGGAAUAUUGGUCAAUGGACGCAAGUCUGAACCAGCCACGUCGCGUGAAGGAAGACGGCCCUACGGGUUGUAAACUUCUUUUAUACGGGAAUAAAGUGCCCCACGCGUGGGGUUUUGCAUGUACCGUAUGAAUAAGGAUCGGCUAACUCCGUGCCAGCAG
Molecule: ribosomal RNA, 498 nt
Filed under: uncultured bacterium
Lineage: Bacteria
Description: bacterial SSU rRNA
Rfam family: Bacterial small subunit ribosomal RNA
Source: RNAcentral